UAACGCGUGAGGAACCUGCCUUUCAGAGGGGGACAACAGCUGGAAACGGCUGCUAAUACCGCAUAACACAUAGGUGUCGCAUGGCAUUUAUGUCAAAGAUUUAUCGCUGAGAGAUGGCCUCGCGUCUGAUUAGCUAGUUGGUAGGGUAACGGCCUACCAAGGCGACGAUCAGUAGCCGGACUGAGAGGUUGGCCGGCCACAUUGGGACUGAGAUACGGCCCAGACUCCUACGGGAGGCAGCAG
RNAcentral lists this ribosomal RNA (243 nucleotides) under uncultured bacterium. RNAcentral describes it as "partial 16S ribosomal RNA". It matches the Rfam family "Bacterial small subunit ribosomal RNA", at positions 111 to 354 of the family's 1533-position model. The record is from RNAcentral.